Molecule: ribosomal RNA, 535 nt
Filed under: Hypotrachyna sorocheila
Lineage: Eukaryota; Fungi; Ascomycota; Lecanoromycetes; Lecanorales; Parmeliaceae
Description: LSU rRNA
Rfam family: Eukaryotic large subunit ribosomal RNA
Source: RNAcentral
GAAAUCUGGCCCCUUCGGGGUCCGAGUUGUAAUUUGUAGAGAGUGCUUCGGGUGAGACCACGGUCUAAGUCUAUUGGAACAUUACGUCAUAGAGGGUGAGAACCCCGUAUGUGACCGUGGCUCGAGCCCAUGUGAAGCCUCUUCGACGAGUCGAGUUGUUUGGGAAUGCAGCUCAAAAUGGGUGGUAAAUUUCAUCUAAAGCUAAAUACUGGCUGGAGACCGAUAGCGCACAAGUAGAGUGAUCGAAAGAUGAAAAGCACUUUGGAAAGAGAGUCAAACAGUACGUGAAAUUGUUGAAAGGGAAGCGCUGGCAACCAGACCUGUCCGUAGACGAUCAGCCGCUGUUCUCAGUGGUGCACUCGUUCUGCGAUCAGGCCAGCAUCGGUUUCGGCGGUCGGAUAAAGGCCUGGGGAACGUAGCUCCCUUUCGGGGGAGUGUUAUAGCCCCGGGCGCAAUGCGGCCAGCCGGGACCGAGGACCGCGCUUCGGCUAGGAUGCUGGCGUAAUGGUUGUCAGCGACCCGUCUUGAAACACGG